This 975-nucleotide non-coding RNA is filed under the name Tremarctos ornatus (spectacled bear). RNAcentral describes it as "12S ribosomal RNA". It matches the Rfam family "Bacterial small subunit ribosomal RNA". Lineage: Eukaryota; Metazoa; Chordata; Mammalia; Carnivora; Ursidae. The record is from RNAcentral.
UAAAGGUUUGGUCCUGGCCUUCCUAUUAGCUAUUAACAAGAUUACACAUGUAAGUCUCCGCGCCCCGGUGAAAAUGCCCUUUAAAUCUCUUAGCUGAUUCGAAGGAGCGGGUAUCAAGCACACCUCUCUUUCCCUGGAGAGGUAGCUCAUAACGCCUUGCUCAGCCACACCCCCACGGGAUACAGCAGUGAUAAAAAUUAAGCCAUGAACGAAAGUUCGACUAAGCUAUGUUAAUUAAUAGGGCUGGUAAAUUUCGUGCCAGCCACCGCGGCCAUACGAUUAGCCCGAGUUAAUAGGUCCACGGCGUAAGGCGUGUGAAAGGAAAAACCCCACCACUAAAGUUAAAGACUAACCAAGCCGUAAAAAGCUGUCGAUAGCACUAAAAUAAACUACGAAAGUGACUUUAAUGCCCCCAACCACACGACAGCUAAGAUCCAAACUGGGAUUAGAUACCCCACUAUGCUUAGCCUUAAACGCAGAUAAUUUACCAAACAAAAUUAUUCGCCAGAGAACUACUAGCAAUCGCUUAAAACUCAAAGGACUUGGCGGUGCUUUAAACCCCCUAGAGGAGCCUGUUCUAUAACCGAUAAACCCCGAUAAACCUCACCACCCCUUGCUAAUCCAGUCUAUAUACCGCCAUCUUCAGCGAACCCUUAAAAGGAAAAAAAGUAAGCAUAAUUAUCUCACAUAAAAAAGUUAGGUCAAGGUGUAACCUAUGGGAUGGGAAGAAAUGGGCUACAUUUUCUACUCAAGAAUAGUCUACGAAAAUUUUUAUGAAACUAAAAACUAAAGGCGGAUUUAGUAGUAAACUAAGAAUAGAGAGCUUAGUUGAAUAGGGCAAUGAAGCACGCACACACCGCCCGUCACCCUCCUCAAGUGACGCUAAAUCAAACACAACCUAUUGAAACUAGACAAAUCAUAAGAGGAGGCAAGUCGUAACAAGGUAAGCGUACUGGAAAGUGUGCUUGGAUAAAC